Molecule: non-coding RNA, 257 nt
Organism: Otolemur garnettii (small-eared galago)
Lineage: Eukaryota; Metazoa; Chordata; Mammalia; Primates; Galagidae
Source: Rfam
GCCGGGCGUUGUGGCGGGCGUCUGUGGUCCCAGCUACUUGGGAGGCAGAGGCAAGAGACUCGCUUGAGCCCAGGAGUUGGAGGUUGCUGUGAGCUGUAAUGCCACGGCACUCUACCCAGGGGGACAGCUUGAGGCUCUGUCUCAAAAAAAAAAAAAAAAGAGACACAGUCUUAAUUUUUCACCCUCGGUAGAGUACCGUAGUGUCACAGCUCACAGCAACAUCCAACUCUUGGGCUUAGGUGAUGCUCUUGCCUCAG